RNA transcript from Gopherus evgoodei (Goodes thornscrub tortoise), 5380 nucleotides. It is a transcript of the gene named family with sequence similarity 184 member A, with no coding region annotated. The record is from RefSeq and is a predicted model, not a curated record. NCBI's taxonomy places the organism in Eukaryota, Metazoa, Chordata, Testudines, Testudinidae. The transcript is spliced from 20 exons.
CGUAAACAGUUCAGCCGGAGCCUGGUAACCGAGUGGCGGCUGCAGCAACGGUCGUCAGCUCCUCCGCGCGGGGCGAAGCGGCAGCUCUGCUUGGGCUGGGCAAGCCGCGGCCGGAGACCCCCGCUGCCGAGAGUAGCGCUGUCAGGGGGCCUUGCAGCUGCAGCCCCGGCACGGGGCGAGGGACGCGGCUGCGUCCCCGCUGGCUGCCCCGCUGCCAGCUGCGAGCAGGAGGCGGCACCGGUCACUGGUGCGCAGAUUCUCCCUCGCCCGCGGAGGCGGGGGCGUCCCUGCCUUCACCCGCACCUAGUGGAGGGGGCGGAUGGUGUGAGGCAGCCGGGACCGGGGUCGCCGCGGCGGGGGGCUGAAGGAGGACGCUCCGCCAGUGACCUGGGCAGCGUGUGCGGUCAGAGCGUCGCGGCAUCGCCCCGCCACCCCCGGCGCUUUCCUGGAAAGCGGAGCGGGAGGCGUAGCGGGGUCUCGCUGUGAAGAUGGCGACCCCCGGGAUGAACUGGCAGCAGCAUUACUACGGCGGCGGCGGCUCCUCAGCCAGCGCUGGGAAAUUCGCCGCGUCCAGUUCCCAGCCGGGGCUCAGCAUGGAAUACAGCCAGGAUCUGCACCUCAAAAUGAGCAAGAAAAUAGCCCAGCUCACCAAGGUAAUAUAUGCUUUAAACACUAAGAAUGAUGAACAUGAAGCUGCUAUUCAAGCCCUUAAGGAUGCUCAUGAAGAAGAAAUCCAACAAAUUCUUGCAGAAACAAGAGAGAAGCUCUUACAGUAUAAGAGUAAAGUUGCUGAAGAAAUGGAUCUUAAGAGAAAGAUCCAGGUUUUGGAAGAGUCAUUGGAAGAUCAUAAAAAGAUGAAACAUCAAGCCUUGACAGAAUUUGAAGCUUACAAGGACAGAGUUGAAGAUAUGCAGCUUUGUGCAGAAGCCCAGCAUGUCCAGCGAGUAGUAACUAUGUCAAGAGAAGUAGAAGAGAUUAGAAAGAAGUUUGAGGAGAGGCUACGAAACUUUGUACAGUUGCAAGUACAGUUUGAGAAAGACAAACGCUCAGCUCUGGAAGACUUGAGAGCAGCACACAGAUUGGAGAUUCAAGAACUUCUGAAAACUCAGCAGAAUCAGAAUGCUACUUUAAGUAAGGGGCAAGAGAAGCUAGAGGAGUUGCACAGCUUGGAACUGGAAGAUUUAAACAGCAAAGUUGAAGAGCUAAGACUGGAGAGGAAAAAACUCAUUGAGGAGUAUGAAGGUAAACUCAGCAAAGCUCAAUCCUUUUAUGAACAUGAACUUGAUGCUUUGAAAAGAUCUCAGCUCUUUACAGCUGAAAGCCUGCAUGCCUGUAAAGAGAAAGAAGUGGAGCUAAGAAGAGAGUUUCAAAGCCAAGAAGCUGUUUUGCGGAAGAACCUUGGGAAACUGAAGACUGAAUUGCAGAUGGUACAGGAUGAAGCGGGUAGUCUGCGAGAAAAAUGCCAAAAGCUUCAGGUAGCUCUCAGUACAGCAGAAAACACUGUUCAGGUGCUUCAAAAACAGCUAGAUGAUGUCAAGGAGGAGGAGAUAUCAUUGUUAAGCAAACACAAGGAGGUGGAAAGUGAGCUAGCAGCUGCUAGGGAACGCUUACAGCAGCAGGCCACAGAUCUUGUACUCAAAGCCAGUCACAUUGGAAUUCUUCAAGCUACACAGAUGACACAGGAAGUUACAAUAAGAGAUUUAGAAUCGGAAACAUCUAGAUUAAAAGAGAAACUAUCUCAGAUGGAAGAGGAAAGAAAUCUAUUGCAGAGCAAAACACAAAGUCUGGAUGAAAGACAAAGGCAGCAGAUUCUGGCAAUGGAAAAGAAGGUAAAUGAAGCAAGGGAAACACAACGAGAGUAUUAUGAGAAAGAGCUGAUAAAGCUGCAAACCAGAUUGGAAGGGGAGGCUGCACAGUUAAAUGAGGCUCAUUCUAAGACUUUGGAAGAAUUAGCAUGGAAACAUCACACUGCGAUUGAGGCUGCACACAGCAAUGCUACCAAGGAAAAGAAAAAGCUGCAACUGGAGUUGGAGCAGCAAUUUGAAAAGGAGAAACUACAUCUGGAAGGGGAUAAGAAUCAGCUUAGACAGCAGUUGGAAAAUAUGAGGGAAGAACUGACGACAAAGCUGACUUCGGCCAAUCAGGAGUUGUGUCGUCUACAAGACCUAGUAAGAAAAAGUGAACAGGGCCUUGGUACUGCAGAAGGACACAUCUCCAGUCUUCAGGAAACCCAGGAAAUACUCCAAAAAGAACUAGAGUUAACCAGAGCAAGGCUGAGAGAGACCACGGAUUCAUUGUAUAAUGUUGAGGGGGAACUAGAACAGGAGAGACAGCAGCAUGAAGCAAAGAUUUCUGCCAUGAGGGAAGAGGAGAAGAUGAAAGUUGACAGAAUGGCUCGUGACCUAGAAAUAAAAUGGACAGAAAAUCUUCGACAGGAAUGUAGUAAACUUCGUGAAGAGUUGAGGCUUCAGCAUGAAGAGGAUAAAAAGGCAGCCAUGACUCAGCUCUUGCAACUGAAAGAACGUGAAAAAAAUGCUGCCAGGGAUGGAUGGCAAAAAAAAGUGGAAGAUCUUUUAGACCAGCGGCACUGUCUCGGUGAAGCUUUGCAUAAAUCUAUCAGCAAUAUCUCCUUGCUGAAACAGAAUCUGGAGAUGCAGCUUUCGCAGUCUCAGAGCUCCUUGCAACAGCUACAGGCACAGUUUAGUCAGGAGCGACAAAGGCUUACCCAGGAGCUCGAGGAACUGGAAGAAGAGCAUCAGCAAAGGCAUGAAUCCCUGAAAGAAGCACAUAUACUUGCAUUUCAGAACAUGGAACAGACAAAAGAACAAGAACAAAAGGAACUAGAAGAGCAUUUACAACAAAAGCAUUCAGAAGAACUUCAGACACUGAAAGAAGCACACAAACAAGCUAUGGAAGGUUUCAAAUUGGAAAUGGAACAGGAACUUCAAACUCUUCGAUUUGAGUUGGAAGAUGAAGGGAAAGCUAUGCUAGCUUCUUUGCGCUCAGAGCUAAAUCAUCAACAUGCAGCAGCAAUUGACCAACUAAAGCACAACCAUCAACAAGAAUUGGUAGCUGCUAAAAUGGAACUUGAAAGAAGUAUAGAACUCAGCAGACGACAGGAGAAGGAAUUUUUGUGCCGAGUAUCAGAUCUACAGGAUGAACUCAAACAUCGUGACCAUCAUAUAUCUGAAUUGGACAAGGAGAUUCUGACUCUGCAUGAGAAUAUAAGUGCCCUAACCAAGGAACUGGAGUUUAAGGGGAAAGAAGUUCUCAGAAUACGCAGUGAAUCCAACCAACAGAUUAGGAUACAUGAGCAAGAUUUAAGCAAGAAACAUGAGAAAGAGUUGGAUGUCAUGACAGCAGACCACAUCAGAGAGAAACAAAGCAUACUCGCAGAUUUUAAUAAGACCCAAGAGCUACUCAAGGAAAUUAAUUCAGCUUUACAAGUUUCUUUAGAAGAAAUGGAAGAGAAAUACCAAAACAGAGAAUCAAGACGAGAAGAUUUACAGCUUAUUGCAGAGUUGAAAGACCUGAUUGCAGAGAGGGACCAACUCAUAAAGAAACUGAUCGAUGACAAAAAAUUCUAUCAACUAGAACUAGUCAACAGAGAGACUAACUUCAACAAAGUGUUUAAUGCAAGCCCUAAUGUCGGAGUUAUUAAUCCACUGGUGAAGCAAAAGAAGAAGAAUGAUAAAUCAACAAACAGGUUUGUGAGUGUCCCCAAUCUAAGUGCUCUGGAAUCUAGCGGAGUGGGCAAUGGACAUCCUAACCGCCUGGAUCCCAUUCCUAAUUCACCCAUCCACGAUAUUGAGUUCAACAGCAGCAAACCACUUCCACAGCCAAUACCACCCAAAGAGCCCAAGACGUUUUUGAGACGUCAGUAACAUGCAUGUGCAUGAAUUCAUGGAUUGUGAUGCUGGAGUUUCCAUUGCAAAUUGUUUCGUGCCUUGUAUUACCCCAGUAAAACGCCCUCCUCAGACUGAAGCUUCACCAGAUCCACAGCGCCAGGAAUGGUUUGCCCGAUACUUCACAUUCUGAGAGAGAAAUGUUUUUUGUGGCAUAGCGUGGUGUGGAUUGUUUAUAAGAGCAUGUCUUUAAGUAAAUCCUAUGUGAACAAGGAUUUAGUUAGUUUCCUGUACUAUGUCAAACACUGUGAAUGAGAAAGUAUUUGUCUGAGUUGAAAAUGCACUGUAUUUCAUGUGAUAUUUGUUGGAAUCACUUGACAUGAUUCUAUAUAAUGUGCGUAAUUAUAUCAAUUAUUUUUAUUUAAAAUGGAAGAGUCUUUAAACUUUGUAAUUAUUACAUAAUAAAUUUUGGUAGAACAAACAUAAGGCUUUCCCCAUUUUUCUUAUAAAUAUAUGUUUUCUUUGGUUGCAGGAAGGCUCCCCCUCCUCCCAAAGCAAUGUACUGCAUGGUUAUAAUAAAUCAAAAUAAUCUUUCAAUGAUAAAUAAAAUAAAAUAAAAAUAUCAGACUAGGCAAGGUAUGUUUAAUUCAUCUCAAAUUUAUUUUUAUUUGUAGCACUUUAAAAAUUGUCCUCUUACUUACAUUUAAAGUGGUGAAUACGAAAUAAAUCAGACAUAGUUUAGCUGCUAGCCUUCAAAACUGAGUGACUUUGACAAGACCAUAAAAAAAAUUUAGGGCGUUUUCUUUUUUGCUAACUUCUUACCUACUGCUCAUUAGACCCUGCACUCUAGAAAUAACCAGUACAUUUGAUGUUGAGUUUCACCAGAACCUGCCUUCAUGAAUUACCUGUUUAUUUUUUGAAUAUCUACAAAGACAAAUGAUCCUUGGAACAUUUGGGAUACUAAAAUAAGUAUCACUGGGUAAACCAAGAAUCAUAAAGGAAAUCUGCAUUUUGAGGACAUCCUCCUUCAGGCUGAAUAAAGGCUUUAAAAGUAAUCGUAUGCACACAAUUGUAUGCACAUCUUUUAUAAAAGCUCAAGUGUAUUCAAUUGUCUACAUAAAGGGAGUUUCCUUUUUACCUUUUGACAUGAAUCCAUGGACUACUUGGCUUUUUCAGGUAGUAAGCCUGAUUCUCUAGUCUGUUACGCCGGUGCAACACCAGUGUUACUUCAUUGCCAGACAACUGCUAUAACAGAUUGGAGAAUCAGGCCUACUGUCUUUAUUAUUUAUAUUUUUGAUAAUUCAAAGAUUACCACAAAGUAAUUAACACUGGUAGUCUCAGGGAGAAAAAUAUCUUUGUUUUAUGAAUGUAUUUUAAAUCUGAAACUCUCCUUAAAAACAGCAAAGGACUAUUAUGAUUUAUUAUUUAAAUAGGGUUUUAAUCGGCAAAUACAAAAGCACAUAGAUCUUCAUUAUUUCUUCUGAAGCCCUGACUAUAUCCUAUUUCCCUUUAUAUACAAAUAGCUAGUAAAAGAU